Molecule: non-coding RNA, 74 nt
Organism: Gymnothorax javanicus (giant moray)
Lineage: Eukaryota; Metazoa; Chordata; Actinopteri; Anguilliformes; Muraenidae
Source: the annotation of a GenBank genome assembly
GGCGGCAUGGCUCAGGAGGUAGAGUAGGCGGGCUAGGAAUCAAAAGGUUCCUGGUUCGAUCCCUGGCUCCUCCA